AGCAGCCGCGGUAAUUCCAGCUCCAAUAGCGUAUAUUAAAGUUGCUGCAGUUAAAAAGCUCGUAGUUGAAUUUCGGGACCAUCAUGUCGGUCGUGCCUCGGUACGUACUGGCAUUGUUGGUUUCUCCCUUCUGACGAACCAUGAUGUCAUUUAUUUGGUGUUGUGGGGAAUCAGGACUGUUACUUUGAAAAAAUUAGAGUGUUUAAAGCAGGCUCACGCUUGAAUACAUUAGCAUGGAAUAAUGAAAUAGGACGUUUGAUUCUAUUUUGUUGGUUUUUAGGAUCGACGUAAUGAUUAAUAGGGAUAGUUGGGGGCAUUAGUAUUCAAUUGUCAGAGGUGAAAUUCUUGGAUUUAUUGAAGACUAACUACUGCGAAAGCAUUUGCCAAGGAUGUUUUCAUUAAUCAAGAACGAAAGUUAGGGGAUCGAAGACGAUCAGAUACCGUCGUAGUCUUAACCAUAAACUAUGCCGACUAGGGAUCGGAUGAUGUUAAUUUUUUAAUGACUCAUUCGGCGCCUUACG
This 521-nucleotide ribosomal RNA is filed under the name uncultured Glomus. Its description in RNAcentral is "SSU rRNA". It matches the Rfam family "Eukaryotic small subunit ribosomal RNA", at positions 569 to 1092 of the family's 1831-position model. Lineage: Eukaryota; Fungi; Glomeromycota; Glomeromycetes; Glomerales; Glomeraceae. The record is from RNAcentral.